GUCCACACUGUAAACGAUGAUUACUCGCUGCUAGGGGGCAACCUUUAGUGGCUUAGCGAAAGCGAUAAGUAAUCCACCUGGGGAGUACGCCGGCAACGGUGAAACUCAAAGGAAUUGACGGGGGCCCGCACAAGCGGAGGAGCAUGUGGUUUAAUUCGAUGAUACGCGAGGAACCUUACCAGGGCUUGAAAGUUAGGGAAUGAUUCUGAAAGGAGUCAGUCAGCAAUGACCCGAAACUAGGUGCUGCAUGGCUGUCGU
RNAcentral lists this ribosomal RNA (258 nucleotides) under uncultured bacterium. RNAcentral describes it as "partial 16S ribosomal RNA". It matches the Rfam family "Bacterial small subunit ribosomal RNA", at positions 793 to 1055 of the family's 1533-position model. The record is from RNAcentral.